This 412-nucleotide ribosomal RNA is filed under the name uncultured bacterium. RNAcentral's name for it is "bacterial SSU rRNA". It matches the Rfam family "Bacterial small subunit ribosomal RNA", at positions 505 to 916 of the family's 1533-position model. The record is from RNAcentral.
GUGUCAGCCGCCGCGGUAAGACGUAGGGGGCUAGCGUUGUCCGGAUUUACUGGGCGUAAAGCGCGUGCAGGCGGUUCGUUAAGUCCCGUGUUAAAGCCUCCGGCUCAACCGGAGAACGCCGCGGGAUACUGGCGAGCUUGAGGGCGGUAGAGGGUGAUGGAAUUCCCGGUGUAGCGGUGAAAUGCGUAGAUAUCGGGAGGAACGCCAAUGGCGAAGGCGGUCACCUGGGCCGUCCCUGACGCUGAGACGCGAAAGCUGGGGAGCGAAAGGGAUUAGAUACCCCUGUAGUCCUAGCCGUAAACGAUGGACACUAGGUGUUGCGCGUAUCGACCCGUGCAGUGCCGUAGCUAACGCGUUAAGUGUCCCGCCUGGGGAGUACGCUCGCAAGAGUGAAACUCAAAUGAAUUGACGG